GGGACCGUAGGGUAGAUUGGACCAUCCUACCAGCUUGGGGUGUUGGUGACCCGAGUUCAAAUCUCGGCGGUCCCA
This 75-nucleotide transfer RNA is filed under the name Thermoplasmatales archaeon I-plasma. It matches the Rfam family "tRNA". Rfam says of the family: Transfer RNA (tRNA) molecules are approximately 80 nucleotides in length. Their secondary structure includes four short double-helical elements and three loops (D, anti-codon, and T loops). RNAcentral also lists the same sequence under 4 other names. Lineage: Archaea; Methanobacteriati; Thermoplasmatota; Thermoplasmata; Thermoplasmatales. The record is from Rfam by way of RNAcentral.